Long non-coding RNA from Diuraphis noxia (Russian wheat aphid), 365 nucleotides. NCBI's taxonomy places the organism in Eukaryota, Metazoa, Arthropoda, Insecta, Hemiptera, Aphididae. The record is from RefSeq and is a predicted model, not a curated record.
GCUUGCUGACGCAACUUUUAAAGUUGUGCCUUCAACUCCACCAAGCCGUCAACUUUUUAUUAUGCAUUUAAUAUACCAAAACCACUCCAUACCGAUUGUUUAUGCAUUGAUGGAAUCAAAGACUGAAGAGGCAUAUAUACUCUAUUAUUAAGCAAGUGCAAAGGAUUAUUUCCAUUUAUAAUGCCAGCAAAUAUAAUGACUGAUUUUGAAUCUGGGUUGCUGAAUGCUUUUAAAUCUGUUUAUCCAGAUGCAGAUCAGCAUUCUUGUUUUUCCAUUAUGCACUAGUCAAAAAUAUCAGAACAAGAGGAUUAACACACUUUGUUAAAUCUAAUUUGRAUGCACAAUUUUGUGUGCAGAUGUUUUGU